This is a non-coding RNA of Meleagris gallopavo (turkey), 683 nucleotides long. Lineage: Eukaryota; Metazoa; Chordata; Aves; Galliformes; Phasianidae. The record is from RefSeq and is a predicted model, not a curated record.
CAGCAGCGCUGCCGAUAGCAGACAUCGACCGUGCCUCCCGCCAGCUACCAUAGAGCGGCGGAACCGCCGGAACACACGGAGCAGCACUUCCAGUUGGGCGUGCACCGGGCGGGCGGAAGUCGCGUGGCUAGGCACGGUCACGCGCUUCCCGCGUGCUGCGCGGGGCGGCGUUUGUGCGGGUUGUUGCGCUUUUUGCACGCUGCGGGGCUGAGCGCGAGGCGCGACCGUUGGGCUUUUCCAGUCAGCGCUGUGGCGGCCGCCCGUAUCGGGUUGUGUGGUUACCGGGCUCUGAGCCGCCCUACCUGUUGCUGCUGUGCACUGUAGUUACCCUACAAUGAGACAGAGCAGGAUUUGGGCUGCUGCUUCCAAUCUGCUCCUUGUGUUUGAGCAGCUUCACAGUUGACGUAGCAACGAAUGCAUCACCCUGGUCUUCGCUUCAGGGCUGAAGAGAACGUGCUUUGAAACAUGGAUGUCUGCUGUCCUCAGGAAGCUGUACAGCAUCUCUCUGUCAGGCCAAGAACAUUAUCCAGAGUGCUCGCUGUGUUCUUUGUCCAGACUGAGGAUCUGUUGGAAUGUGUGGAAGCUUCUGCCAUAUCUGGAUCAGUUUGAAAGAGACUAAUCCAGAAGAUAGGAACAGCUUCUAGAGCCUACACUUGUGCUUAAAGGUAUGUGCAUAGCACAGA